This 298-nucleotide long non-coding RNA is filed under the name Lathyrus oleraceus (garden pea). Its description in RNAcentral is "Pisum sativum (pea) long non-coding RNA (PSAT_LNC022491)". Lineage: Eukaryota; Viridiplantae; Streptophyta; Magnoliopsida; Fabales; Fabaceae. The record is from RNAcentral.
AAAGAUAAGUUUGGGGUAUUAAUCCAUAAAAGAAAUGUUGAAAAAGGGCAAGUGCAAGAAAAAGAAAGAUGAGAAAAAGAAAAACUGUGUAGAAACAUCUGCUUCUACCGAAAAAAAAGAGAAAAAGAAAUGAAAAAAUAAUUAUAUAGAGAAAUGAAGAAUAAGCACUUGCCUUAGAAAUAGACUCAUGCAUUAAUAUGAAUUUGAGCGAAAAAGAGUCAAGAUUGGACGACACUCCAUAUAAAAAUUAUUGCACAAAGAAAAACAACAACAUGAAUGUCGAGUUGUUAAACCAUUU